CCUACGGGAGGCAGCAGUGGGGGAUAUUGCACAAUGGGGGGAACCCUGAUGCAGCGACGCCGCGUGUGGGAAGACGGUCCUCUGGAUUGUAAACCACUGUCCCCAGGGACGAAACUGACGGUACCUGGGGAGGAAGCUCCGGCUAACUACGUGCCAGCAGCCGCGGUAAUCCGUAGGGAGCGAGCGUUGUCCGGAAUUACUGGGUGUAAAGGGAGCGUAGGCGGGGAUGCAAGGUGGGUGUCAAAACUACCGGCUCAACUGGUAGUCGCACUCAAAACUGCAGCUCUUGAGUGAAGUAGAGGCAGGCGGAAGUCCGAGUGUAGCGGUGAAAUGCGUAGAUAUUAGGAGGAACACCAGUGGCGAAGGCGGCCUGCUGGGCUUUGACUGACGCUGAGGCUCGAAAGUGUGGGGAGCAAACAGGAUUAGAUACCCUGGUAGUC
RNAcentral lists this ribosomal RNA (440 nucleotides) under uncultured bacterium. RNAcentral describes it as "partial 16S ribosomal RNA". It matches the Rfam family "Bacterial small subunit ribosomal RNA", at positions 338 to 795 of the family's 1533-position model. The record is from RNAcentral.